RNAcentral lists this ribosomal RNA (771 nucleotides) under Triticum aestivum (bread wheat). RNAcentral describes it as "partial small subunit ribosomal RNA". The record is from RNAcentral. Lineage: Eukaryota; Viridiplantae; Streptophyta; Magnoliopsida; Poales; Poaceae.
AUGGCGCUUCUGCGAAAAAGUCCUUCCGUUUUGAGGAAAUCAACCCGCAAUGCAAUAAUAAGUGAUUUGCAGGAGAAUAACGAUUCGAUCGUUUGGGCAAACAGGACUGUCUUCGGCCUCAAGGAUAGACGCACGGUAUGGAAAAAAACAAACAAGGAGAGAUCGGGCAUGACUCCUCCUGAGAGCCACGAUGGAUCUUGCCUCCACAAGCUACAUAUUAUGAGCAAACAAAAUCAUCGUCACAAAUCCGAUUCCUUCCUCCUCCGCACGCAUGAAGCCGCCGCCGCUGCUUCUCACCUCGCCGCUAGAUCGGAAUCGAAGUCGUUGCUCAAAUCAAGAGAGAGAGAGAGAGAGAGAGAGAGAGAGAGAGAUCGGAUCGAGAUUGAAUGCCACGAGGAGCGCUGUCGGAGAUGCCAGGCCGUUGCCUUAGGCGGACGAGCCGCCGGCAAGGAAUCCACGUCGGGUGGCUAUCCGUGGCCUCUCAAGCCCUCUCUUACUCCCCCCUCCCCCACCUCCCACCGCCCGAGCGCCGUCACCUCACCUUCCACAGGCCCCCUCGACCCUCGGCUAGACGCCACGGCCGGGUCGCCACCCCCUCCCACCGCGAGGAAGACGACGGCAGAGCAAGGCGGCGGCGCUGGGCUGUACGUCGAGCCUCCCUCAGUGGCCUCCGUCCUCCAUACCGAUGCUCCGUCCCCCGUUUCAAUCGGCUCUGCUGCAACUUCGCCUGACGACCGGUGCUCUGCCUUCACCUGCUCUGCUUCGGUCUAG